RNAcentral lists this RNase P RNA (348 nucleotides) under Dokdonella sp. Its description in RNAcentral is "Bacterial RNase P class A". It matches the Rfam family "Bacterial RNase P class A". Rfam says of the family: Ribonuclease P (RNase P) is a ubiquitous endoribonuclease, found in archaea, bacteria and eukarya as well as chloroplasts and mitochondria. Its best characterised activity is the generation of mature 5'-ends of tRNAs by cleaving the 5'-leader elements of precursor-tRNAs. Lineage: Bacteria; Pseudomonadati; Pseudomonadota; Gammaproteobacteria; Lysobacterales; Rhodanobacteraceae. The record is from Rfam by way of RNAcentral.
GGAGCCGGCCAAGCAGCCGCGGCGCGCAAGCGUCGAGGAAAGUCCGGGCUCCACAGGGCAGGGUGCCAGGUAACGCCUGGGCGGCGCGAGCCGACGGACAGUGCAACAGAGAGCAAACCGCCGAUGGCCCCGCAAGGGGAUCAGGCAAGGGUGAAACGGUGCGGUAAGAGCGCACCGCGAGUCUGGCAACAGACCGGCACGGCAAACCCCACCUGGAGCAAGACCGAAUAGGGGGACCAUGACGCGGCCCGCGUCGUCCCCGGGUUGGUCGCUCGAGCCGCGCGGCGACGCGUGGCCUAGAGGAAUGGCUGCUCACGACAGAACCCGGCUUAUCGGCCGGCUCCUUUG